Molecule: ribosomal RNA, 369 nt
Filed under: Triticum aestivum (bread wheat)
Lineage: Eukaryota; Viridiplantae; Streptophyta; Magnoliopsida; Poales; Poaceae
Description: partial small subunit ribosomal RNA
Source: RNAcentral
AUGGGUGUUUUUAAAUUCCCGGCAUCGCUGUGCGAGGAGUUGUCGCAGGUUAUAAGGAACUUCUGGUGGGGUGACGAGGAAGAUAGGAGGAAGACUCAUUGGCUAGCUUGGGAUAAGACGACUAGGCCUAAAGGUGAGGGUGGUAUGGGUUUUCGGGACCUUAGAUUAUUUAACCAGGCACUCCUAGCUAAGCAGGCUUGGAGGUUGGUGGUUAAUCCUGAAUCUCUGUGCGCCAAAGUGAUUAAGGCGAAAUAUUAUCCCCAGGGGCAUAUUCUUGAUACUGUUUUCCGCAGUCGGCUUCACUUACUUGGCAAGGCAUUUUGCAUGGGUUGGAUCUGCUUAAAUCUGGAGUCAUUUGAGAGUGUGUGA